GUCGCCGUCGCGCUCACCAUUCAUCGGCGCGGCUAUGUAAUAAGAGAUGCCGGAACCCGCUUCCAUCAUUGUGCUCCUGCUCUCCGCAGAGGAGAUGCCGGCCCUCUUCCUCCUCCUCCUGCUCCCUUCCUACUCAACUUCUCUCGGUCGCAUCCAUUGAGCGGCGAUCUGCUGUUACAUUGGCGGAGGGUUGGUUUACUCGGAGGUGUAGUUCUUCGCACCGGGCGUCAAGGUCGAUGGUGCUUCAUUGGGGGAUCUAGAAUCCAGUACAGCCCCAAGAGAACAACAUCUCGGCCGUCUGCUGGUUGUAAAACCCUAGCCCUCUUUUGUUGUUAGUUGGUAAUUAGGGCAUCGACGAUUUUAGUCUUGUCCACACGAGCUAGUGUUGUUUGCCUAAAAAUAUAUUUUUUAAGGGAAAUUAUCAAUUUUUUCCUUAAAAAUCACUCAUUUGUUAUUACUCUUCAAAGUUAUCAUCAAAAUCGCUCCCUUGUUAGGGAAGAAUGGCAUUUCGACAACAAAAUAGUGAUAUUGGAGAGAAUUUUUACCUUGAGGAAACCUUAGGGUAUUUUGAGAAAAUGCUAAACCUUGGGGAUAUUUUGGAAAUUGCCCUAUUUUAAAUAUUCUUUUGGUUCAUUAAUCAACUGCUUACAUUAAUUUGAUUUGAGUUGUUAUGUUAUAGAGUUAGGCAAAGUUUUAACUUUUGGUUCGUUAAUUAGCUCCAUUCAGAUUUCUUGGUAAAAUUGCAAAAACAAAUCAUUUAGCCUCCCAUAUUUUUAUUAUUUUUUGAAAUACCCCAAUCGUUUCAGGGUUGCCAUAUUCCCCCCAUUUCGUUUCAAUUUUUAUGUUAGAAUGCUCCUCCACCAUCAACACUAAUGAUGUUGCACCAUGUGAAGUACGUGUGAUCAUCCCAAUGCCACCCAUGGAAUCCUAUUGUUUGGACAAUCAUGUGCAUUGUUCGCAACGCAAAUUCACCCCUCGUAGAUAGCGGCAGGGGCAUUUUGACAUGAAAAUUUAAAAUAGAUGGUGUAAAAUGACAACUCUUAAAUUAUAGAGAGCGUUUCAAAAAAGAAAGGGGGAGAGGGGCAAAUAGCAAAGCUGAAUUUUCUCAGUUAAAAAUUAUUCUUUCUCCGCCAAGUUGGAUUAAAUGCAUGUCAUAGAUUUUAGCUCAACUUCCUAUCAGAAACUGAAUAAUUAAUUCCUCAUACUCAAGAAAAACAUUGUAUAUUUCCUUACACUAGGGCAUACAAGUACACAGAUUGCUAACAGUGCCUUCACUUGGGGCACAGCUUCUGUUCUUUCUUUUUUCACUCUUAUGGUUGUGGCUCCUACUUCUGCAUUUGCAAGUCAAUUUCACAGUCUUAAGGAAUAUAAUUGCAUAGAGCAAGAGCAUGCAAGAAAAGUGCAUGUUUAAUAGUAUUUGAAUAUUUGAUGCUCUUGUUCAUUGUAUUGGAUUUUAGACUAGAAGAAAUAUGGUAAGCUGCGUGCCAUAUGUUGCCUUAGCAGUUCUAUAUGUCUACCCUCUGCAUCUCUCAUGGACUCCAGACGCAUUAAGGAUUCCAGAGUUAGAUGGAAUGACACGACUAUUCACCAACGAAAUUACUUCGGCUUCAGCAUGGAUUCAUUUGUUGACUGUAGACCUUCUUGCUGCAAGGCUGAGCAGGACAAUAGGAUUCAACUAAAGAAAGCUUUGCAGAACUAGAACAUUGCAACUCCUUUCUGAGGCUCACAUGAACUAGAAACAAGGAGAUGGAUUCUUUUAUAGAUGCAUGCACGAUUUGCUAAGAUACGUACUACACAAAUUGCAUGCAACGUCAACAUUCAUGCUUUAAAGUUGAAUUACAGAAGUUGUUAUGGCUUCCAUUAGGUCUUCUAAGCGCCCUUCAUAACUUCUUGUUGCAGCAGCGAGUUUCAUGGAGAGAAGCUGCACAGAGACAUUAAAAAAAAAUUUAUAGGGAAAGUUCAACAAUAUUUUGUUAUGAUAUUUAAUCUCAAAGAGUAUAGUUUUGAUUACCCCAACUUGAUUCUGCAAUGACUGCACAUAGUUAAUUAUUUCCUCCAGCCUUGCUGUAAUCUCCAUGGCCUAACCAAUCAGUUAUAAACAAAGUAAAGAAAAACAACUACUAAAUGAUCAAAUACUGUAAUUCCUGUUUUGUAAUGUA
Molecule: long non-coding RNA, 2159 nt
Organism: Zingiber officinale
Lineage: Eukaryota; Viridiplantae; Streptophyta; Magnoliopsida; Zingiberales; Zingiberaceae
Exons: 4
Source: RefSeq, a predicted model, not a curated record